AUUAAAGGAAAUAUUAAUUGAUUUCGAAUUUUGAUUCAAUUCGGCCAACCUAUCAGCUUUGACCACAAUUACAUAAUCCACCCAAUUAAAUCAAUAUUGUCCCAUUUUAUAAACUACAAAUAGCAGCCCACUUUCUUAAUUUAGCUUACUAGCCUUGCCAACCUAAUAGUUAAGAUCAGCCCUUUCCCCUUUCAGUUGGGCCGUUAGUCCAAAACUUUCAGAUGACCCAACAAUUUUCAAAUGACAGCAAACCCAACCCAUUUUCUCAGCAAUCUUUUUCUUUAAUUAUAUUGACCGCCCCAGCCCAACAACAACAUCCGAUUCAUAACCAGGCCCAAUUUCAGCAUCCCCACCAGCCUAUUUUGCUCUGUUUUCUCAAGCAGGCCUAAAUCAACCACCUGUGACCCGAUCCAACCCAAUUCCCUUUACCCCCUUUAUCUUCUUUCUCUUCAAACCAAGGGAAAACCAAAAACAGCUGUAAUACUGCAACACCACCACCUUCAUUGACAACACAAGCAACCAACAACGGCGAAAAAUCCGAAUCCAUCAACCCGAUAACCCGACUCCACCAGCCCCAACCUUUUUGUUUGCUCUCCACACGCAUAUCACGCGUUAGAAAGACGAGAAAGGAAUCUAAGAAAAAAUCAGUCCCAAAUCUUCUAGAACGAGCCUAGGUGUCAUCCCCAACGAUUCAAUCCCGUGUUUCUCGGAUAAGAUUGUACGAUUUCGUACAGAGUUGGAUGAUUUUCAUUGGUUCUUGGAAAGAGUCCGUUUUUCCUAAAUGGUAUUAGUCUACCUGUUGCAAAUUUCUCCAAAAAAAAUCCAAAGUUGGUAUGUUUUGGGCUAAAAAAUGAGGCUAUGGGAAGAUGGGAUUCUGAAUUUCGAAUUUCUCUUUUUUUUUAAAUCCCUAGAUUACCCCCAAUUCAUCCCAUAUGUAAGGAUCCAUUGGGUCACUGGGAUGGGGGGAUUUUUUUUUAGACGGGACUCUCCUCUUUUUUUCUAGGUUCACAACCUUAGAGGUAAAGGGAUUCCAACUGGGGGGUUUGGAAAAUUUCGCAAAAGUAUCGAGGGUUUUGGGGUCGAAAAACUUUAGGAAAAAAUUUCUUAAAUUAGGAAAUUGAUAGAGAGGGCUAAGUUCAGAAACCAAGGAGGAAGUUUCCAGAGAAAGGAAACAAAGUUUUUAAUAUAGGUGUCUUUGGUCGACGACUAGUUCGAGCUUUCGUGGUCACCAUGUUAAAAUUUCUAGUGGUGUUGAAAUCCGGUCGUCAUCUCAACAACCCAUUUUGCUGCUCUGAAACAGGAUAUGACUCAACUACAUUCCCACGAAAAGUUCAAGGGACCACAUGAGCGCAGGAGAGAAAAAGAUUGUUAGAACACACAUUGGGCAUCUUCCUUCUUUGAUCGAGAUGGACGCUUAGCCCGAAAUUAUCCAUGUACUAAUAAAUUUUUGGGAUGAUCAGAAUAUGGUAUUUCGCUUUGGGGAUGUUGAAUUGACUCCUACCAUUGAAGAGGUAUUGAUUUGUUACAAGAGUACGGAAAUAUGUUUUAAGAGAAGGGAGACACCUGAUAAGAACAUUUUAGUCCCGGUUGUGUGGGAUCGUCAAAAGAUCAAGGAGGUAUUUUUAACUGACGACGACACCAGGCUAGGAGAACAUGUAGAGAAAAUAUCAUUUUUCGUGAGUUGUAUCGUCGGUUCAGGAGAUUCAAUGCUUUUCACAAAUUUGGGCAUAAAUAUGAGUCAGAAGCAAAAUGGACAGAGUCGAGAGCCUUUGCAUUUGCGGUAGGCCUACUUGGAACCAUGGUGUUCCCAUAAGGGGAAAAUGACACAAUUCAUUCGAGGGUUGUCUCGGUGACCUAUGCACUCUUCUUUGGAAUGGAGUACAAUUAUAAAAAGGUAUUUCACAACUUAGAUCCUAUGAUUGUUGCCGACUUAUAUCAAACUUUGGGAAGGUGUCAAGUCGAGAAUCGUUUCUUUCAAGGCUGCAACCUUAUGUUACAAUGGUGGAUGAUGAUUCAUUUGGUGAAAAAUCCUAGAAUAACACAACCUGACCACAAAACAAGGUGGAAUCUGCUAGAAUCGCACGACAUGUGGUUGUUUUUACACAGGUUCAAAAGGGAAGCAUCUCAUGAAUUUUGGUUUAAGACUAUUGGAGAAUUAAGAGAUGACGAUGCCCAAUGGUCCCUUAACUAUCUUCAUUUAGGGAAAUACAUUAUUCGAGGGGGCGAGUGGCCUUUUCUAGUACUUCCGGGUAUCAGGGGAACCUGUCCCUACAAUUUUGGUAGAGUUCUUAGGCAAUUUAAGAUCAAGAAGGAGACGCCUCAAAUCGAUUCUAUGCUCAGAUUCUUCACCGAAUAUGAUGAAAGCGAGCCCCCGCUCAAAGACUACAUGAUAAACGGAUUUAAAAGGAGAAGGUGGACGGAAGUCUCUUUCCAUAUAGGGUAUGAACCUGAAGUCAACGAUACUUACAAGGAGUGGUUAAAAAAGAGCCUUGGCGGAGCAUUAAUUUCGGGGCCAAACGUGCCCACUUGGGUCGUGGAUGUAGAAUCCGAGCAUCAGAUCCGACUCCACAAGCUUCAGGAUAAAUUUUAGAAAAGUGAAAUCGCGCACCGACAUCGCAUGUAGAAGAUGCUUUAACAAUACGUAUGUUGAGGGAAGAGUUGAAAAGAGCUAGGCAAGAGGCUGAUGAUGCUAGGCAGUGUUUAAUCGAUUUGGAUGAUAGCAUGGCCUCUCAACUCGAUAGUAUAGGGAAAAUAACUUACCACAGCAAGGCACAAUUAUACGGGAGUCAUCUGAUCAUCAAUAGGUAUCAAAUAGCACAGGAGGUGAACAAGGAAAAGAAGGCAAAGACAGACAAAGGAGCCUCCGGUAGCUAGUUUUUCUAUUUCCCCUGUGUGGGAACUCAUUUUCUUUCAUGUUUUUUCCCUUUUUCCCUAAAGAUUGUAUCCCUCUUUUCUUAUUUUUUUUGAAGGCAUUUAUGCCCUUUUUCGUGUCUAUAUAAGUUAGGGGAUAAUGGAUUGACUUUAAGGAAGCAUAUAUUUUCUUCAAAAUCGUUAGGCCUGAACCCUUGUCUCAAAAAGGGUCACCCCAGUUAGGAUACACAUUAUUAUAAUGUUUUGUGUGAUAUAAUUGUCUUAUGUUCUUAUGUGUGUUUAUUUGGAUCAAAGGCAAGUUUAUUCGCUAUACUCCUAUGGAUGAAUUUGUCUAUGACUCAAAAAACUCUAUGUGAUUAUUUCUUGUCAAAUAUUUUGCAUUACUUAUCACAUACGGAAACUAACACAUCUGCCUUUGAGUUGUUUUACUUAACAGAUAGUAGAAACUACUCUGUGUUGAUAUAAGCUGGAAGAACAUCCCUAUUUUACCCGGUCAAAAGCGCACAAAAUCCCAUCCUCUGACCAUUAUUUAAUAAUACUAGAAAUAAUGAAGAAAACGCAUUGACCAUCAGAGACAAUCUAAUAGUGGAACAGAAUGAGAUGAUUACGGAACUCGCAAGAAAGCUUGAAAUGCUUCAGGGGGAAAUAAAUUGUACUCGAGAUUCGGCUCACCUGGCCAUCACUGUUAAUGCUCCCGCUCCAGGAGGACAUGGGACUCCACUCCAAAUCCCUUCCCUUAGUACGCCUAUUCUCGGGGAUCAGCCAAAUAACAUAUCAUCCGUCUCUGCCCCUUCACUUGUCCAAAAUACCAAUCGCGAAAAUAACCCAGAUGCCUACCAUCCACAAAAUCCAUCUCUAACCCCACAAAACCCAUCUACGAAUCUAUUCCCAAAUCCCCAAAACACAUUUUCAAAUCAAGAAAAUUCAUUCCCAAAUCCACAGGAUUCACUUCCAAACCCGUAAAAUCCAUCAAAUCUAUUCCUGAAUCCACCAAAUUCGUUUCCAAAUCCACAGAAUUCUCCUCCAAUUCCACCAAACCACUCGUAAAUUCCAUAAAACCUUCCUAAAUUUCAAAACGUCCUCCCCACCUACCAACAAACUUUCUUUCAUUUGCAAAAUCAAGCCUCCUUUCCAAAGCCCCCUCAUGCCAUCAUAUCCCCUGACAUCUAUAAUCCCCUACCUAAUUUUGAUAUGGACCAUUACUAAGAGAAGGAGAAAGAGUGGAUGAUCGAGCAUGAAAUUAGGUUGCUAGCUAUGAAUGAAGAGAUCAUGAGGAUCAAAGAAUCUCAUGAAGCGAGGGACCACGACGGUUUAGGGUACGAUGACUUAUGUGUUCACUCUAGAGUAGAUCUACCAGAAGGGUACAAGGUCCCCAAGUUUGAAGUGUUUGAUGGUGCUGGGAAUGGCCCAUCUGAGGAGGUACUGUGAGCAACUGGUAGGGAUCGAGAAAAAUGAGGCGUUAUUGAUGCACCUAUUCAGCCGAAGUUUAAGCGGUGAGCCUUAGAGUGGUUCAUGUAUCAGCAGCCAAAAAAAAUGGACUGGUUGGAAAGCAUUGGCUAAGGGUUUCUUCGACAGGUUCUCAUUCAACAUUAAAAUUAUCUCGGACCGGUAUUCACUAGAUCGAAUCAAACAAAAGAGUGAUGAGAGUUUUCGAGACUAUGUUUUUCGUUGGAGGAAGGAAGCUGCCAAAGUGCAACCCUCCAUGUCUGUGGAAGAAAUGGUAUCCGUGUUCUCUCACGCUCAAGAAGGAGAAUAUUAUACCAGGAUGGUGUCCGUUUCAGGGCAACUUUUGCAGAUUUGGUAAAAAUCGGGUAAUCACUGGAAGAAGGUAUUCGUAUAGGAAAAAAUUGCCAAGACCCCAACAUCGUUCGAAACUGUUAUGUUCUCGAAGAAGAAAAAAGAGGAUGUAGGCACGGUUUCUGCUGAUUCUAUUGCAAAAACGAAAAAAAGGUUCAACUCUAGGAAUAUUUUCUCUUUUCCACCAUCACCAAACUUUCAGCAUGUAUUCUACACCCAACCCCAAUACCAAGCUUCACUUCCAAAUGUCCAACCUCAGUACCAAACUCCACUCCCAAAUAGUCAACCCCAGUACCAAGCUCCACUCCUAAAUGUCCAAUCCCAAUUCCAAGCUUCGCAGCCAAAUAUUUUUCCCCAAUGUCAAGUUCCACCGCCGAAUUAUCAUCCUAAUAUCCAAUCCACUCUUCCAAACAUCCGAACAAACAUCCAAGGACCUCCAAAUUAUCAUUAAGUGCUUCCUCCUGCAAAUCAAAAUCAUUAUAACACUCCGCAUCCAAACAUAAAAAAUAAACCUCCCCAAAACUUGACGCUGCUUGCUGAAAGUCGCACCCAACUAUUUGAAAGAUUGAAAAAUGUCGGUCACUUGUAAUCGAUCCAGCCAAAUCUUGUCAAUCCCAACUCUCGAUUUUAUCAUCCUGAUCAAAAUUGUUCUUAUCAUUCAGGAGCAGCAGGGCACAGUACCGAGGACUGUUUUAUCUUAAAACAGAGGAUCCAAGAUCUGAUUGAUCAAAAGGUCAUCACACUUCAGUCAUCGACACUAAAUGUCAAUAGUAACCCAUUGCCUAAUCAUGGGGGAUCUACUAUUAACAUGAUUGAAAUAAAAUGAGAAUGGGUGUCUGGCAAGACUAUUACUAAGAUGAAUUCAGAAGACUGCAAAAGGGCAGAAGAGGUAGAAAAGAUAGAGAGAGUUGUGGCUACCUUAAGUGUCAACGAAAAAUCCCCAUUUAUAGUGAUAACGGCCCCUAUCCAAGUGUACAGUCCCCCGCCAAGAAAGGAAUAUAUUGUAAAAACCGUUGUUGCCUAAGGGAUGAUGCAAUCGGGAUGAUGCUACAUCCCUAAAGAAUUGACCAACAAAAAAGAUUCACAGAAAAGGCCAACCACUAAAGGGGAGGCUGAGGAAUUUUGGAGGCGUAUGCAACCCAAAGAUUAUUCAAUUGUCAAACAUUUAGAGAAGACGCCAGCCCAAAUCUCCAUUUUGGCACUAUCAAUGAGUUCGCAAUACCACCGAUAAGCUUUAUCAAAGGUCUUGGAUGAAGCGUAUGUUCCCGUAGGAAUGAGUGUUGAGAACAUGACUGCGAUGAUAGGAAACAUUGUGGGGAAUCAUCGUAUAUCAUUCAGUGAUGAAGAGUUGCCUUUUGAAGGAGUGAUGCACAAUAAAGCCUUGCAUGUCACUGUCAUUUGCCAAGAUUAUGCGAUUAAUCAGGUAUUAAUAGAUGAUAGAUCUGGUGUGAAUAUUUGUACCCUCUCUACGUUGGUUCAAAUGGGCUAUAAUUUGGGAAAAAUUCAUCAAAGCCACGUAAAUAUGAGAGCAUUCGAUGGAGGGCAGAGAGAUACCAUAGGAGAAAUUGAUUUGUACAUCCAAAUAGGACCUGCUGAGUUCAAAACUAAGUUUCAUGUUAUGGAUAUUCAUCCUAGCUACAACCUGAUCUUGGGAAGACCAUGGAUACAUGGUACAAAGGCCAUUUCAUCACCCCAUCAUCAACUAUUGAAGUUCAUUUGGGAUCAUGAAGUAGUCAUCCAAGGGGAAGGAAGCCGAGCGGAUCGUCCCAAUGGUUAUGUGCUGGUGAUUGAAGAUGUUCCAAAGGGUAGUAGUUUCUAUACGGUUGAAAUUAUAAAUGCUGUGGAGAAGGAUCUGACGCUCAAAGGGACAAUGCCUUCUGUCUACAAAAUAAUUGCGACGGUGAUAUUAAGAAAUAGAUUCGAGCCUGGUCGGGGUUUGGGUACGAAUCUACAAGGAAUUAUUGAGCCUAUUAUGAUCCCAGAGAAAGCCUCUAAAUAUGGGUUAGGAUAUCAGCCUACCGAGAAGGAUAUGGUUGAGGAUAAGUCAGAGCAGAGUCUGUGUAGGCCCUUUUCGCUUCUGUACCAACAUUUCCUAUACGGGACGUGUCGAAUGAUGAUGUUCUUGAGUAUGGGAUAGGAGAUUUUUUUGAGGGAUGCAAUGCUAUACCAGAAGAUUUCACAAAGUCCGGUGGGGUGAAGAAGAUUACUCCAGGGGAGGCCUUGAAAAACUAGACCUCCACUCCAACUCGUCGCCCAUCGUGGUAGAUGAAAGGGCAAUUAAUAAUAGUUUUAAAAUCAGUGAUGAUCUGGAAGAGGCCCCACGAUCCACACUUUAUAUCUUAAAACUUUAUUUUUAUAUUUUACUGCUUUCAAAAAGGCAUGGACUAGUAUUUGCGCGAGUCAUGAGCCAUGGUUUUGUAAUUAUCUCGCAAAUUUCAUUGAAAAGGCCUUCAUUCAUUUAAAAAAAAAUUAUUAUUCUUGAAACAUUCCUAUUCGUAUAUUUUAUUAUUAUCUUAUUAUCAUCUAACUUGGU
RNA transcript from Capsicum annuum, 7201 nucleotides. RefSeq lists it as uncharacterized. The record is from RefSeq and is a predicted model, not a curated record. Lineage: Eukaryota; Viridiplantae; Streptophyta; Magnoliopsida; Solanales; Solanaceae. The transcript is spliced from 2 exons.